This 239-nucleotide ribosomal RNA is filed under the name uncultured bacterium. RNAcentral describes it as "partial 16S ribosomal RNA". It matches the Rfam family "Bacterial small subunit ribosomal RNA", at positions 109 to 334 of the family's 1533-position model. The record is from RNAcentral.
AGUAACACGUAGGUAACCUACCUCUAAGAUGGGGAUACCGUUCCGAAAGGAGCGCUAAUACCGAAUGUGGCCAUUUCCGGGCAUCCGGGAUUGAUCAAAGAUGGGGAUUCUUCGGAACCUGUCGCUUGGAGAGGGGCCUGCGUCCCAUCAGCUAGUUGGUGUGGUAACGGCGCACCAAGGCUUACGGGUAGGUGGUCUGAGAGGAUGGUCACCCACACUGGGACUGAGACACUGCCCAG